GCCCGCCUAGCUCAAUCGGAUAGAGCGUCAGACUCUUAGGCGGGCUACACGUCCUUACUACGUGCAUCUGAAGGCUGCGAGUUCGACCCUCGCGGUGGGCU
Non-coding RNA from Gymnopilus junonius, 101 nucleotides. NCBI's taxonomy places the organism in Eukaryota, Fungi, Basidiomycota, Agaricomycetes, Agaricales, Galerinaceae. The record is from the annotation of a GenBank genome assembly.